This 83-nucleotide transfer RNA is filed under the name bovine gut metagenome. It matches the Rfam family "tRNA". Rfam says of the family: Transfer RNA (tRNA) molecules are approximately 80 nucleotides in length. The record is from RNAcentral.
GAGAGAUGGCGGAGUGGUCGAUCGCGGCGGUCUUGAAAACCGCUGACCCGCAAGGGUCCGGGGGUUCGAAUCCCUCUCUCUCC